CCAACACAAAAGAGGAGAAGUGAGUCACUUGAGCUUAUCAACUUGCCCAGAAUCUGGGAACCAUCCCUCUUAUCCCCAAAAUCUAAAAUAGAAAUUUGUGCUCUCACAAACUUUGUCGCCGCUGUCCGGCCACCGCCACCGCCACCGCCCUGCUGUUGCUUGAGUCUUGAGUGAAAAAAUGAAAAGGAAAGCAUCAGGAACUGGAACAUCUUCAAGUGUAAAUGAGUCCAAUGAUAUCCCUCCUCCUAGCUCUUCCCCUACGAUGCUAACUGAAGCUGAUUUGAAUGAUCUGCCAUGGGAUCCAUCUGAGAGAAAAAGAAUUUCAGAGUAUCACCCUGAUCAAAGAGACGAGAUAAGAAAACAAUAUCUAAUUAAAGGACCUUGUCAACCACGUGGACAUACAUUUCCAUGGAGAAUAAUAGGAAACAAGAAAAGACGUUUCAAUCCAGCUUGGUUUAAUCAAUUUAGUGAUUGGUUGGAGUACAGUGUGAAAGUAGAUAAAGCCUUUUGCUUGUGUUGUUACCUGUUUAAAGACCAUGUUUCAAAACAAGGUGGAUGUGAUACUUUUGUGACAGAAGGAUUUAAUAGUUGGAAUAAAACUGAGAGACUUAGUCUUCAUAUGGGUAGUGCUAACAGCUUACACAAUAAAGCACUUAAGAAAUGUGAAGAGUUUAUGAAACAAGAUGACUCUAUUGCUGUUGCCAUUCAGAACAAAAACAAUUUUGUCAAGAAUGGGUAUCAAAUUCAAUCAAGUCCUUCUAAAUCCACUACUACUCGCAACAAUACAGCUCUUCUUGUAAUCGAUAUGCAGAAUGAUUUUGUGUUGGAGGAUGCGCCAUUGCGUGUUGAUGGUGGCCUUGCUAUAGUUCCUAAUGUUGUUAAGGCAGUUGAGGUUGCUAGACAACAAGGCUUCCUUGUUGUUUGGGUUGUAAGGGAGCAUGACCCAAUGGGAAGAGAUGUUGAGGUGUUCAGAAGGCAUUUAUAUGGUGAUGGAAAAGCAAAGCCUACUUCAAAAGGGAGCAAAGGGGCAGAGCUUGUUGAUGGUCUUAUUAUCAAAGAAGGAGAUUAUAAAGUGGUAAAGACAAGGUUUAGUGCCUUCUUUGCUACAAAUCUUCAUUCAUUUCUUCAAGGAGCAGGGAUUGAUAGUUUAGUUGCUGUUGUUGAUUGUAGGUGUUCAAACUCCAAACUGUAUAAGGCAGAGUGUGUUUGAUGCUGUGGAACUUGAUUACAAAUCUGUUACUGUUAUUGUUGAUGCUACAGCUGCUGCUACACCUGAUGUACAUGCUGCAAAUGUUAAUGACAUGAAGAAUAUAGGAGUUGCAGCUCCAACACUUAAAGAAUGGUGCGAGUUCAGUAGCUCCAACACUUAAAGAAUCGUGCUAAUAUUAAAAUAUUAUUUUCAUUUCUUUUGAGCGUAUGUCAAUAUGUAUAUACACAUAAUAAUUGAAGGGUUAUAUAUUUUCAAAUGAAUAUGGUUGUAAUGGCUUUCCAUUGAUUAUCUCUAUUAAUGUGUUGUACUUUUGAUUUC
This is an RNA transcript of Lactuca sativa (garden lettuce), 1528 nucleotides long. It is a transcript of the gene named Isochorismatase family protein, with no coding region annotated. NCBI's taxonomy places the organism in Eukaryota, Viridiplantae, Streptophyta, Magnoliopsida, Asterales, Asteraceae. The record is from RefSeq and is a predicted model, not a curated record.